UCAACUCGCAAAUGUCUAGACUUUUUUUAAAGUCUUAACAUUUUGGAGUUGGAUUGCAACUAAUCAAAUCCAUCGAUAGACUGGCCACACUGUUUUAGGAGGCAUUCGUUUUUGUUUCGUGAACCAUAAAUACAUUUUGAAUGGCUUUAAAAAUAAAAAUUCAAAAGUUAUCUACAAAAAUUAAAAACUGUGCUCCUGUUUAAACUUGUUUGACAAUAAUGCAUUUACGGACGUUUCGGAGUUGACGUAGAAGAUUGUGCCGAAUCAUCAUCAUUAAUGGAGGAUUUACUCUUUUUCAUACUUAGCUGGGACGUCGAUAUAUCAUCUGGUAAAUCUUCCUUAAAUCGCGUCCAUUUUAUGAGUGUUUCUGGAGAUCGGUACAAAAAUAACAAUUUUCCAUACAAAUCUUCUUCAAGCCGAUACUCCUGUGUUUCUCGAACUAGGUAUAUAUCGUUACACAGCUUAAGUACUCGGUCAACGUACGGUAAAUCUUCAAACAUUAUUCGUCUGUGAUUGUUGGCGAUUAGAGAGCGUAUAACUCUGGAAACUACAUACACAAAUGUUGUAUAGAGUCCAAUAAUCCUAAAAAAUUUUUCAUAAACCGUAAUAACCUUCAAAUUGGCAUUGUUUUUGUAAUUUAAAGCGUAAUAUUAUUUAGCUCUUAAAAAUUGUAAAGGACAUUAAACGGAUACAUUAACAUGUGCAUCGGUAUAAAGAUUCGAUCAUGUAAAUUAUAUCUUAUGAAAGAGUAUGCAUAGUUUAUGGGGUCUGGAUUCAAUUAAAUAUACUCUUGUAACCUAUGAGUACUGAGUACAAUUAGUUUUGAGUCUCAGAAUUGGCAGUUACAUAGUUUAACUAACUCAUACCAUUGUAAUCCUUGAUAAAUUUUAUUUUC
Molecule: long non-coding RNA, 895 nt
Organism: Drosophila miranda
Lineage: Eukaryota; Metazoa; Arthropoda; Insecta; Diptera; Drosophilidae
Exons: 3
Source: RefSeq, a predicted model, not a curated record